Non-coding RNA from Oryza meridionalis, 187 nucleotides. Lineage: Eukaryota; Viridiplantae; Streptophyta; Magnoliopsida; Poales; Poaceae. The record is from Rfam.
AAUAAGCACAACUAUGAGUUUCCGUGUCUAACUUUGAUUGUCUGUCUUAUUUGAAAUUUUUUAUAAUUAGUAUUUUUAUUGUUAGUAGAUUAUAAAAUACUUUAUGUGUGCCUUAUAUUUUUUUUUAAAAAAAAUAAAUAAGACGGACGAUUAAAAUUGGCCACGGAAACUUAUGGUUACGUUUAUU